This is a long non-coding RNA of Papaver somniferum (opium poppy), 405 nucleotides long. RefSeq lists it as uncharacterized. The record is from RefSeq and is a predicted model, not a curated record. Lineage: Eukaryota; Viridiplantae; Streptophyta; Magnoliopsida; Ranunculales; Papaveraceae. The transcript has 2 exons.
ACAAGCGAUCCACGACCCAGUUAAUAUGGUCCGGUAAGUUCAUUUAAUCUGUCUUCGAAGUCCGAAGUCCGAACAACACCCAUCUCAUUCUUCUUUUCUCUCGAUCCUUCUCUUCCUCUUUAUACAACCAGAUUUGUCAUCAAUUGAUGAGUUCUUUGAUUUUCUUUCCGACAAACGCUUAAAAUCUCUAAAGUGAAUAUGAAAACUGGUACCACCAUUGUUGGUCUCGUCUGCAAGGUAGAAUUUGAACCAGAAAGAUCAAAGAUGGGUUAGGCAGGGUUACAUUGCUCCUUGUCUCUGCCUGUACACGGCUUAAUUUUUUCUUUCAACUUAUCAAAUCCAUGCUUUAAGAGUGUAAUUAUGAUAACGUUUGCAUUUUAGCUUUCUUUCAAAGUUUUCAAUUAA